Suncus etruscus (white-toothed pygmy shrew) is the source of this 107-nucleotide small nuclear RNA. NCBI's taxonomy places the organism in Eukaryota, Metazoa, Chordata, Mammalia, Eulipotyphla, Soricidae. The record is from RefSeq and is a predicted model, not a curated record.
GUGCUCGCUUUCGCAGCACAUAUACAAAAAUUGGAAUAAUACAGAGGAGAUUAGCAUGGCCCCUGCGCAAGGAUGACAUGGAAAUUCCUGAAGCGUUCCAUUUUUUU